GGUUCAUGCCCUCUGCUUUGUUUUCUCAUGCCCCAUGUCCAUAACUGAAAGCAUGGCACAUGUGAGGGCGGCCGUAAAUUCAUCAGGUGAUUGCAGCCAACCACAGCGAGCCGGCGAUCAAUGACUGGGUUGCUUUGAACUCCAAAUUUCAUCGAAAGUCAACGGCCGAUAUUUUAGCCCGCUGACUUUUAUUUCCUAUGAUCAUCCGUGUCUUCUAUAUAAGCGCCUUGCUCCCGAGUCCCAAGACAUUCUCCCAACACACAAACACUCAC
RNAcentral lists this long non-coding RNA (272 nucleotides) under Setaria viridis. RNAcentral describes it as "long non-coding RNA (SVIR_LNC003261)". The record is from RNAcentral. Lineage: Eukaryota; Viridiplantae; Streptophyta; Magnoliopsida; Poales; Poaceae.